UGGGAUAAGAUUUUUAUAUGCAUUUUUGAUAUUUUCACAUGAUUUUUUUUCACAUGAAUAUACAGUGAGUCUUACUUUCGUGUAAGAAAAAAUAAUGUAAAAAUAUCAAAAAACACAUAAAAAUAAUGCUUCCCUUAUGAGAUUUCUAUCUUCGCAAUUUCACUAAUCUUCUCUCUCCUCGUAUCUCAUCCUUCUAACAUUUCUUCUUCCCCUUUUUUCUCUCUGCAAAACCUAUCACAAAACUUAAACCCCUUCGACUCAAAAGCAAGAGCCCACUCGCCCCUGUCUUUCCUUCUUUAGAAGAUUGCCCACCAGAAUCGGAAGAUGAAAUCUUCAUCGCAUAUUACACUCUAAAGUGAGAGAGGGUUUUGAUAAUUGAGGGGCAAAACAUGACAAGAUGAAUUGAGAAAUCUG
Molecule: long non-coding RNA, 414 nt
Filed under: Panax ginseng (ginseng)
Lineage: Eukaryota; Viridiplantae; Streptophyta; Magnoliopsida; Apiales; Araliaceae
Description: long non-coding RNA (PGIN_LNC019256)
Source: RNAcentral